AGCCCCGGAGCCCUUUUGGGCUCUUUUUCAAACUUGCAUUUUGAUGUGAAUCACUUCCGGGCUUUG
Molecule: transfer RNA, 66 nt
Filed under: Anolis cobanensis (Stuart's anole)
Lineage: Eukaryota; Metazoa; Chordata; Lepidosauria; Squamata; Anolidae
Description: tRNA-Cys
Source: RNAcentral